CCUACGGGAGGCAGCAGUGAGGAAUAUUGGUCAAUGGGCGCGAGCCUGAACCAGCCAAGUCGCGUGAGGGAAGACGGUCCUAUGGAUUGUAAACCUCUUUUAUCGGGGGGCAAAAGACGCCACGCGUGGCGUUCCGAGAGUACCCGAAGAAAAAGCAUCGGCUAACUCCGUGCCAGCAGCCGCGGUAAUACGGAGGAUGCGAGCGUUAUCCGGAUUUAUUGGGUUUAAAGGGUGCGCAGGCGGAAGGUUAAGUCAGCGGUAAAAUUGCGAGGCUCAACCUCGUCGAGCCGUUGAAACUGGUUUGCUUGAGUGAGCGAGAAGUAUGCGGAAUGCGUGGUGUAGCGGUGAAAUGCAUAGAUAUCACGCAGAACUCCGAUUGCGAAGGCAGCAUACCGGCGCGCAACUGACGCUGAUGCACGAAAGUGCGGGUAUCGAACAGGAUUAGAUACCCGAGUAGUC
Molecule: ribosomal RNA, 459 nt
Filed under: uncultured bacterium
Lineage: Bacteria
Description: partial 16S ribosomal RNA
Rfam family: Bacterial small subunit ribosomal RNA
Source: RNAcentral